RNAcentral lists this ribosomal RNA (524 nucleotides) under uncultured bacterium. Its description in RNAcentral is "bacterial SSU rRNA". It matches the Rfam family "Bacterial small subunit ribosomal RNA", at positions 15 to 518 of the family's 1533-position model. The record is from RNAcentral.
GAUCAUGGCUCAGAACGAACGCUGGUAGCGUGGAUUAGGCAUGCAAGUCGAACGGGAUCGGGAGGGUAGCAAUAUUCUCCCGUGAGAGUGGCGGAUUGGGGAGGAACACGUGAGCAACCUGCCCUGGAGAUGGGGAAAACCGUUGGAAACGACGGCUAAUACCGAAUGUUGCGCCGGAGGGCAUCCUCCGAGCGCGGAAGGGGGCCGCAAGGCUCCCGCUCCGGGAUGGGCUCGCGCACCAUCAGCUAGUUGGCGGGGUAACGGCCCACCAAGGCUCACGGUUAGCUGGUCUGAGAGGAUGGCCAGCCCCACUGGGAUUGAGAUACUGCCCAGACUCCUACGGGAGGCUGCAGUCGAGGAUCAUUUGCAAUGGGCGAAAGCCUGACAAUGCGACGCUGCGUGGAGGAUGGAGGCCUUCGGGUUGUAAACUCCUGUCAUGGGGGAACAGGCGAGGAAACCUAACACGUUUCUUAGUUGAGUGUACCCCAAGAGGAAUUGGCGGCUAACUCUGUGCCAGCCGCCGC